AUACGGAGGAUGCAAGCGUUAUCCGGAUUUAUUGGGUUUAAAGGGUGCGUAGGCGGAUGAUUAAGCGUGAGGUGAAAUGCCACUGCUCAACAGUGGAACUGCCUCGCGAACUGGUUGUCUUGAAUGCUCCUGCCGUGGGAGGAAUGUGUGGUGUAGCGGUGAAAUGCAUAGAGAUCACACAGAACACCGAUUGCGAAGGCAUCUCACGAAGGGGUGAUUGACGCUGAGGCACGAAAGCGUGGUGAUCAAACAGGAUUAGAUACCCUGGUAGUCCACGCAGUAAACGAUGAUAACUAACCGCUGGGUCGUAGUGAUUCAGUGGCCAAGCGAAAGCGAUAAGUUAUCCACCUGGGGAGUACGACCGCAAGGUUGAAACUCAAAUGAAUUGACGGGG
Molecule: ribosomal RNA, 394 nt
Filed under: uncultured bacterium
Lineage: Bacteria
Description: partial 16S ribosomal RNA
Rfam family: Bacterial small subunit ribosomal RNA
Source: RNAcentral